ACUGCAUGGUUUGGGCAAGUUCCCCGUGCAGUCGCCAGCAGCAGUGAGUGUUCGUGUGGCGGUCUCCUGUGGGCAUACCUCACCACUGCAUGCCCAGGGUCCAGCUGUUCCUGUUUGAACCCUUGGACCCUAAGAGGCCUCGCUGACUUCUCAGACUAACACACGUGACACAUCUCAGCUAUCGGCACAUUAGUGACACUGGCCAGAUCCCAGGUCCUGUUCCUUCCCCCGCCACAUGUGUCCCCAGAUUUCUGCCUCAACCAAAAGAAGAGCUUCCGCCCUGGGGGAAGCUGGUCCUGCUGGGUCUGAAUCAAGUUACAGUGUUAGAAGCAAACUGGGCUGUUGGGUGGGAUCUCUGGCUCCACAUUCGCAGUGCCAUCGGGAUCUGGAUCCAGCUGUCUCUCGUUUUCAGGAUUCCCUGCAUGGAUUGCUUGGGUGCAGUGUGGAAGGAGCCACUGUCAACCCUGGAGCAACCAUUGGAAUGUAGAACUCACGGCUACUGUUCCAGAGCCAUGCCUGUCUGCCUCCCGCCUUGAUGGUGGACGAGCCCUCGAAACUGAAAGCCAGGCCCCAGUUAAACGCUUCAUUUUUCUAAGAGUCGCCUUGGUCAUGCUGCCUCUUCAGAGCAACAGAACAGUAACUACAACAGAUGCCUUUCAACCCAGCUUGUAAUGCAGAAACAGUCUUCUCAAGGCCCUGGGAGGCUGUGAUGUCUCUCCAGCUGCUGCCGUCAGCCAGUGCUCCUUUAAGAGACGGUUCUAGGAAGACUGGAAACACAUCCCGACCAUGAUGUGUGAGAUCCUCCUGAUGGAGGUACACAUUCACUGUUGUGAGCACAAGAUGUCAAAAAUAGAUGGUCAGAUUUCUGUCCACAACAUCAGUUUACCAAGUAACAAUAAAUCCAAGAGCUAUGUCGA
Myodes glareolus (Bank vole) is the source of this 917-nucleotide long non-coding RNA. RefSeq lists it as uncharacterized. The record is from RefSeq and is a predicted model, not a curated record. NCBI's taxonomy places the organism in Eukaryota, Metazoa, Chordata, Mammalia, Rodentia, Cricetidae.